Molecule: ribosomal RNA, 352 nt
Filed under: uncultured bacterium
Lineage: Bacteria
Description: bacterial SSU rRNA
Rfam family: Bacterial small subunit ribosomal RNA
Source: RNAcentral
GGGCUCACACAAGCGGUGGAGCAUGUGGCUUAAUUCGAAGCAACGCGAAGAACCUUAUCCUAGGUUUGACAUACACGGAUUAGCUCUAAGAGACUAGAGUGACGCCUUCGGGUGGAACGUGAACAGGUGCUGCAUGGCUGUCGUCAGCUCGUGCUGUGAAGUGUCGGGUUAAGUCCCUUAACGAGCGCAACCCUUAUCGUUAGUUGCUAGCAGGUAAUGCUGAGGACUCUAGCGAGACUGCCGGUGUUAAACCGGAGGAAGGUGGGGAUGACGUCAAGUCCGCAUGGCCUUUAUGCCUAGGGCUGCACACGUGCUACAAUGGCAAGUACAGAACGACGCAAUACCGCAAGGU